CACAAGCUGCGUUGUACGUAUGGAUAAUAAAGUUUUAACCUUUAAGCUGUAAUAGGGAGUUUUAUAUCAAAGCAGGAAUGUCAUGCCUCAGUCACUGACUAGGAGGACGUACAGGAAUGUUUUUGCAAACACCCACUUUGAGGAGUGGUGGUUUAAAACUUUCUUACUUAACUACGGCAAGUGCGGCUUGCUU
Molecule: non-coding RNA, 193 nt
Rfam family: 6S / SsrS RNA
About the family: E. coli 6S RNA was the first non coding RNA to be sequenced, but its function was unknown until recently. It consists of 184 nucleotides that fold into an extended hairpin structure with a large single-stranded internal bulge.
Source: Rfam